UUAUAUGAGAGUUUGAUCCUGGCUCAGGACGAACGCUGGCGGCAUGCCUAAUACAUGCAAGUCGAACGCACGAAGUUGAAAAGCUUGCUUUUCGACCAAGUGAGUGGCGGACGGGUGAGUAACACGUGGGUAACCUGCCCAUAAGAGGGGGAUAACAUUCGGAAACGGAUGCUAAUACCGCAUAUUUCAAAUGACCGCAUGGUCGCUUGAUGAAAGGUGGCUUCGGCUGCCGCUUAUGGAUGGACCCGCGGUGCAUUAGUUAGUUGGUGAGGUAAUGGCUCACCAAGACAAUGAUGCAUAGCCGACCUGAGAGGGUGAUCGGCCACACUGGGACUGAGACACGGCCCAGACUCCUACGGGAGGCAGCAGUAGGGAAUCUUCCGCAAUGGACGAAAGUCUGACGGAGCAAUGCCGCGUGAGUGAAGAAGGUUUUCGGAUCGUAAAACUCUGUUGUUAGAGAAGA
This 463-nucleotide ribosomal RNA is filed under the name Carnobacterium divergens. RNAcentral's name for it is "bacterial SSU rRNA". It matches the Rfam family "Bacterial small subunit ribosomal RNA", at positions 1 to 448 of the family's 1533-position model. Lineage: Bacteria; Bacillati; Bacillota; Bacilli; Lactobacillales; Carnobacteriaceae. The record is from RNAcentral.